Non-coding RNA from Cinara cedri, 223 nucleotides. NCBI's taxonomy places the organism in Eukaryota, Metazoa, Arthropoda, Insecta, Hemiptera, Aphididae. The record is from the annotation of a GenBank genome assembly.
CAACAAUAUAAUACCUACAUUAUAAUACAGUCCGAACCGAUAAAUCUCAUCGUUGAAUAUUUACUUAGUAUUUUUUCAUUUUAAAUUUAGUAUUUUGGAAGCGGCCGAUUUCGUAGGAAAUUCUCCAGACAGUUAGAUCAGCGAAAGUCGAUGUUUUCGUCGGAAUAAUAUUGUAAUCGUUUCGAUGAGACUCUAGGGGUUUACACCACGAGCAUUCGCAACA